RNAcentral lists this ribosomal RNA (253 nucleotides) under uncultured bacterium. Its description in RNAcentral is "partial 16S ribosomal RNA". It matches the Rfam family "Bacterial small subunit ribosomal RNA", at positions 524 to 776 of the family's 1533-position model. The record is from RNAcentral.
UACGAAGGGGACUAGCGUUGUUCGGAAUUACUGGGCUUGAAGCGCACGUAGGCGGCGUUGUAAGUGUCGGGUGAAAUCCCACGGCUCACCCGUGGAACUGCCCGGCAUACUGGGAUGCUAGAGUGUGGUAGGGGAGAGCGGAACUCCUGGUGGAGCGGUGAAAUGCGUAGAUAUCAGGAGGAACACCGGUGGCGAAGGCGGCUCUCUGGUCCACAACUGACGCUGAGGUGCGAAAGCUAGGGGAGCAAACGGG